RNAcentral lists this ribosomal RNA (369 nucleotides) under uncultured bacterium. RNAcentral's name for it is "bacterial SSU rRNA". It matches the Rfam family "Bacterial small subunit ribosomal RNA", at positions 527 to 896 of the family's 1533-position model. The record is from RNAcentral.
GUAGGCAGCGAGCGUUGUUCGGAGUUACUGGGCGUAAAGGGUGUGUAGGCGGUCCUCUAAGUUUGGUGUGAAAUCUCCCGGCUUAACCGGGAGGGUGCGCCGAAAACUGGAGGGCUAGAGUGCGGGAUGGGAGAGUAGAAUUCCUGGUGUAGCGGUGAAAUGCGUAGAUAUCAGGAGGAAUACCGGUGGUGUAGACGGCUCUCUGGACCGCGACUGACGCUGAGACACGAAAGCGUGGGUAGCAAACAGGAUUAGAUACCCUGGUAGUCCACGCCCUAAACGAUGCAUAUUUGGUGUAGGUCAUUCAGUUGAUCUGUGCCGGAGCUAACGCGUUAAAUAUGCCGCCUGGGGAGUACAGUCGCAAGGCUG